This 460-nucleotide ribosomal RNA is filed under the name uncultured bacterium. Its description in RNAcentral is "partial 16S ribosomal RNA". It matches the Rfam family "Bacterial small subunit ribosomal RNA", at positions 338 to 795 of the family's 1533-position model. The record is from RNAcentral.
CCUACGGGCGGCAGCAGUGAGGAAUAUUGGUCAAUGGGCGGGAGCCUGAACCAGCCAAGUCGCGUGAAGGAAGAAGGUACUUAGUAUUGUAAACUUCUUUUGUCGGGGAACAAAGGCGGAGACGCGUCUCUGGAUGAGUGUACCCGAAGAAAAAGCAUCGGCUAACUCCGUGCCAGCAGCCGCGGUAAUACGGAGGAUCCGAGCGUUAUCCGGAUUUAUUGGGUUUAAAGGGAGCGUAGAUGGGUUGUUAAGUCAGUUGUGAAAGUUUGCGGCUCAACCGUAAAAUUGCAAUUGAUACUGGCAGUCUUGAGUACAGUUGAGGUAGGCGGAAUUCGUGGUGUAGCGGUGAAAUGCUUAGAUAUCACGAAGAACUCCGAUUGCGAAGGCAGCUUACUAAACUGCCACUGACAUUGAUGCUCGAAAGUGUGGGUAUCAAACAGGAUUAGAUACCCCAGUAGUC